GUCCACGUGACUGGAUAAUGUAGGUGCUA
RNAcentral lists this non-coding RNA (29 nucleotides) under Mus musculus (house mouse). Lineage: Eukaryota; Metazoa; Chordata; Mammalia; Rodentia; Muridae. The record is from RNAcentral.